GAUGAACGCUAGCUACAGGCUUAACACAUGCAAGUCGAGGGGAAACGGCAUCGAAAGCUUGCUUUUGAUGGGCGUCGACCGGCGCACGGGUGAGUAACGCGUAUCCAACCUGCCCAUCACUUGGGAAUAACCUUGCGAAAGUAAGACUAAUGCCCAAUGACAUCCCACGAAGGCAUCCGAAUGGGAUUAAAGAUUUAUCGGUGAUGGAUGGGGAUGCGUCUGAUUAGCUUGUUGGCGGGGUGACGGCCCACCAAGGCAACGAUCAGUAGGGGUUCUGAGAGGAAGGUCCCCCACAUGGGAACUGGGACACGGUCCAAACUCCUACGGGAGGCAGCAGUGAGGAAUAUUGGUCAAUGGGCGAGAGCCUGAACCAGCCAAGUAGCGUGCAGGAUGGCGGCCCUAUGGGUUGUAAACUGCUUUUAUGAGGGAAUAAAGUGGGUCACGUGUGACUUUUUGCAUGUACCUUAUGAAUAAGGACGGGCUAAUUCCGUG
Molecule: ribosomal RNA, 492 nt
Filed under: uncultured bacterium
Lineage: Bacteria
Description: partial 16S ribosomal RNA
Rfam family: Bacterial small subunit ribosomal RNA
Source: RNAcentral